CUCGUAGGUGGCCAACUAAGUCGGACGUGAAAUCCCUCGGCUUAACCGGGGAACUGCGUCCGAUACUGGUUGGCUUGAGUUUGGGAGAGGGAUGCGGAAUUCCAGGUGUAGCGGUGAAAUGCGUAGAUAUCUGGAGGAACACCGGUGGCGAAGGCGGCGUCCUGGACCAAUACUGACGCUGAGGAGCGAAAGCCAGGGGAGCAAACG
RNAcentral lists this ribosomal RNA (207 nucleotides) under uncultured bacterium. Its description in RNAcentral is "partial 16S ribosomal RNA". It matches the Rfam family "Bacterial small subunit ribosomal RNA", at positions 568 to 774 of the family's 1533-position model. The record is from RNAcentral.